This 424-nucleotide ribosomal RNA is filed under the name uncultured bacterium. RNAcentral's name for it is "bacterial SSU rRNA". It matches the Rfam family "Bacterial small subunit ribosomal RNA", at positions 359 to 775 of the family's 1533-position model. The record is from RNAcentral.
GAAUUUUGGACAAUGGGGGAAACCCUGAUCCAGCCAUCCCGCGUGUGCGAUGAAGGCCUUCGGGUUGUAAAGCACUUUUGGCAGGGAAGAAAAGGUUCUGGCUAAUACCCGGAACUGCUGACGGUACCUGCAGAAUAAGCACCGGCUACCUACGUGCCAGCAGCCGCGGUAAUACGUAGGGUGCAAGCGUUAAUCGGAAUUACUGGGCGUAAAGCGUGCGCAGGCGGUUUGGCAAGAAGGAUGUGAAAUCCCAGGGCUUAACCUUGGAACUGCAUUCUUAACUGCCAGGCUAGAGUAUGUCAGAGGGGGGUAGGAUUCCGCGUGUAGCAGUGAAAUGCGUAGAUAUGCGGAGGAACACCGAUGGCGAAGGCAACCCCCUGGGCCUGUACUGACGCUCAUGCACGAAAGCGUGGGGAGCAAACAG